AGACCAAUAGGCUAUGUGCUAUGACAUCUGUUGGGUAAGCACUGCAGAAGUGAGCAAUUCUCAAGCAGCCUGUCUGAGAGACCAGAGGAGAUGGGACUGCAACCUUCUCUUUGUGAUGCUACACAAGUACUUCUGGGGUACUCAACCUUAGAAAGGAGGAACCUGGCCUUAGAAGGUACUCCUUUGCCUUAUUUUGUCAUCAGCUCCAGCUUCUCCUUCCACUGCUGUGCAGACUAAGAUUUCAUUCAGGAAAGAUUUUGUACAGUAAGAUGGAGUUAAUUCCUUUCUCCAUGUCAUGUUUUCCCCUACUCUGCUUUGUUAAUUGCUUUUGUUUUCUGAAGCCAGUGCUGACAUCACCCUGAAACAUCACAUUGUGAACAAAGGAUGCUAUUCACUUCUAGUCCCCUGACUACUGUAUUUGGCUAGAACAAGCAUUAGAGACAGGGAAGGAGGAGCUCAGGAGCAGACACCCGCAUGCCUUUCUCAUCCCAGAGGAUAAAAUUAUUUUCAUCUCCUGAGCAGCAAACAGAUUCACCUGAGGUUUCAUGUUCCGAAAAGGGACUGUGCCCUUUCUCAGAACCCAGAGACUUCUCAGCUUUUCCAUGGAGAGAAGGAAUGAGCCUAUAAUGAUUAACUCUAUCUCUGCUUCUACUACCAGCUAACUUCAUACUUGCAGUACCUUCAUUAAGGCAGGAAACGCUAUCCAAAUAAUUGUAAACCAUGGUGAUUUGGUCUGCAACACAGCGGGAUCAACUUAACAAGCGCUGAUCAUCGAGAACUCUCAGUGAGCACACAAUUGCUUCUUUGUUGCCAGGAAUAAAGUACAAGUGCUUCUCCAAAGGAACUCUUGGAAUCUGUUAACUGCCUUAAAAGCCAACCGCUGUCUCAGGGUACCGAAAGAAGAGCAGGACCCAACUCAUGCAAGACUGGAAGCACAUGAAUGAGGAAGACUUAGAAAAAUAUAUAAAUUUAAACUCUGGAAGACAAAAUUCACUUAUCAUUAUAGAAAAUAGCAGUCAGCUCAACUGCACAAAAAUAACUCAGGCAGUUAUCUCUCACCAGCUUGCAACACUGUACUGAUAUAUUCUAUUUACUACUUUAUAUCCAUCUGCCAAACCCACCUGGGUUUCAUGUAGGGCAUUCACUAGCUCUGUUAAUGAUAAGCUUCACUCUCUUCCCUAUGCCAUCCCCUCAACAACUUCUAAAAAUAAUUAAUUAAAUAAAAA
This 1226-nucleotide long non-coding RNA is filed under the name Coturnix japonica (Japanese quail). Its description in RNAcentral is "lncRNA (ENSCJPG00005008639.1)". The record is from RNAcentral. Lineage: Eukaryota; Metazoa; Chordata; Aves; Galliformes; Phasianidae.